AAAUGAGAGGCGAUUGUUUCCUAUCGAUUUAACCGUAUAAGCUGUUAUCAAAUUCUGAUUGGCGAUACUGCGGCAUGGUUCGGAGAAUCGAAGUAUAAUUGACUAAAUUCCGGUGGAUGGAACGCUUUGGCGAGAUGAACUGUUACAGUUCGCUGAUACAGGCGUAGCGGCUGGCUGAUAUACAUUCAAUAAGAAUAAUGGUGUUGUUAAGUAACGUUGAACAAAACUGAUAAUUCUGUAUGGGACGUUAUUUAAGGUUGGAUUUAGGCACAAAUUGAAUUAGGAGACGAUCAUAUUGUUACAUGGUAUGGUAUUGAAAGUGAAUAAGAAGACGAGAAAGAUUGAUUAUGGCGUCUGUGCCUAAAUGAUGACACUAAGAAAAUAACGAAGCACACAUGGGAGCCAUAUAUCUGAAGCAGUCGAAGGAUAAGACAUUCGUUGAAUGUGAAAACAAUCCUAGGAAAAAUGGGUUGGAAUUAAAGAUAGAAACUACCGUUUAUUUGGAGCUUUGUGUCUAGUCCUCACGCGGGCGGUGGUAUAUUCACGUCUAUAAAUAUCUAUUAACUUAGUGAUGUUCGGUCACCAUAAUUUUAUGGAUUGCACCUAAUCAAACACUUGACUGUGAUUGUAUAGAUUUUGGCGCAAUUAGAUGUAUUGACGGUAUAAGUUAUGAGUCAAAUUAUUCCGGCCUGUGACCAGAGGGAAUAACCAUUGGACAUCAAUAAGUCAUUCAUUCCUGAUACAAAAUACGGAAGAAGUCUCUUGUCUAAAAUAUGAUCCGUCAAGUUAGAGACAGUUUACGUGGUUCCGACAAUAUACUUUAUAUAUAACACAGACUCAAUUGCUUUACGGUCAUUCGGGAGUUAAGAAAACGCUGGUGAAGAAAAAUUGAUAACGGAAAGAAAGGAAACAAUAGGCUAGUUAUUGUUUUUAUGGACUGUGAGGAAUUGGAACAACUUUUUAGUGCAAGGGUAUGAAAAGAAAAAAAUAUGAUGGUGAUUCUUCAGACUGAAAAGGAGUGGAAUAUAUGGUGUAUUUAAUAAUUAUUCCAACAAAACCAAAAUGGAUG
Mercenaria mercenaria is the source of this 1069-nucleotide long non-coding RNA. RefSeq lists it as uncharacterized. The transcript is spliced from 4 exons. NCBI's taxonomy places the organism in Eukaryota, Metazoa, Mollusca, Bivalvia, Venerida, Veneridae. The record is from RefSeq and is a predicted model, not a curated record.